Molecule: ribosomal RNA, 373 nt
Filed under: uncultured organism
Description: bacterial SSU rRNA
Rfam family: Bacterial small subunit ribosomal RNA
Source: RNAcentral
CGUAGGGGGCGAGCGUUUGUCCGGAAUUUAUUGGGCGUAAAGAGCGUGUAGGCUGUUCGGUAAGUCUGCCGUGAAAACCUGAGGCUCAACCUCGGGCGUGCGGUGGAUACUGCCGGGCUAGAGGACGGUAGAGGCGAGUGGAAUUCCCGGUGUAGCGGUGAAAUGAGCAGAUAUCGGGAGGAACACCAGUAGCGAAGGCGGCUCGCUGGGCCGUUCCUGACGCUGAGACGCGAAAGCUAGGGGAGCGAACAGGAUUAGAUACCCUGGUAGUCCUAGCCGUAAACGAUGGACACUAGGUGUGGGGGAGUCGAAUCCCUCUGUGCCGCAGCCAACGCGUUAAGUGUCCCGCCUGGGGAGUACGGCCGCAAGGCCA